GCCGGGAUGGCGAAAUUGGCAGACGCAGCGGACUUAAAAUCCGCAGACCAGAAAUGGUUGUGGGGGUUCAAGUCCCCCUCCCGGUACCA
Molecule: transfer RNA, 89 nt
Filed under: Acidobacteriota bacterium
Lineage: Bacteria; Pseudomonadati; Acidobacteriota
Description: tRNA-Leu
Rfam family: tRNA
About the family: Transfer RNA (tRNA) molecules are approximately 80 nucleotides in length. Their secondary structure includes four short double-helical elements and three loops (D, anti-codon, and T loops). Further hydrogen bonds mediate the characteristic L-shaped molecular structure. tRNAs have two regions of fundamental functional importance: the anti-codon, which is responsible for specific mRNA codon recognition, and the 3' end, to which the tRNAs corresponding amino acid is attached (by aminoacyl-tRNA synthetases). tRNAs cope with the degeneracy of the genetic code in two manners: having more than one tRNA (with a specific anti-codon) for a particular amino acid; and 'wobble' base-pairing, i.e. permitting non-standard base-pairing at the 3rd anti-codon position.
Source: RNAcentral